Molecule: long non-coding RNA, 1064 nt
Organism: Haplochromis burtoni (Burton's mouthbrooder)
Lineage: Eukaryota; Metazoa; Chordata; Actinopteri; Cichliformes; Cichlidae
Exons: 4
Source: RefSeq, a predicted model, not a curated record
GCAUUCCUGCCUGACACACCUAGAAGCUGCUGGUAAUCAGCUCACCUCUGUGCAACUGGUUCCUUUACAGCUGACGAAAUCCCUCACUUCUGGGAAAAGGAGUAUAACCUGGAAUAUUAAGGGAGACAUGGAGCAAACAAGAGGAGACAGGCUGAGGAGACAAGGAUGAAACACAAGGAGAGGAACAAAGGAACAGGAACCAGAACCGAUGGACUGGACUGCUUACGGUGAACAACCAGUUCCUGGCCGUGCCGCUGGACCAUCUGUCUCCUCCAUGGAUGACGACGUCACCCCAAUGGAGAUAGACUAAAAGGUUCAGCAUACCAAAAGUGAAAGAAGAGGAUGACAAUCAUAACAUUUCUACUUGGGCAAUUACAGUUGAUCCUGCAACAAUUUGGGUUUUGUUUUUGUUUUUUUAGAUAAUUUUGUAAAUUUCAUUUCUCAAACCCUAAGCUGCUGUAAUCAAGUGUUACUAUAAAAGCAAGUAGAAGUCAAUUUUUUUUUUAAUGCAGCAGCUAAUUUCUUCCUGUUGGCUUUCACUGCAUGUUUGCCUCUGCUGUAUUUCCUGUCUACUCUUCAAACAUUUCUCUAAUUUGCAUAUAAAUGUUAUGUUCCAAAGUUUGAGUAUAGAGUAAAUAACAUUUGUGAUAAUUUUAGCUAUAUAUAUCAAAUAGUUUGCAAGAUAGUUUAUUAAAAAGGCAGUCAACCCACUUUAAUGCCAUUUUUCCUGCAGAUAAUGAAAUGUGAGGCAAUGUUUGAACAUGACUAUCUCAAAAACUAUUACAGAUAAAUGCCUGAUGAACAACUUUUUACUGUUUCAUUGUCAUAAAAAAAAUCUGGAUUUUAAAUUUGGUCUGGAUACAUGAAAAAGUUAUGAAAUUUAAGCAGCCUAUUUCAGUACACACUAAUAAAAAAUACAUUGGAACAAUUAGAAGAAGACAGUGACAAUUUCUGAAUUAUAUGUAGUUGAAUUUACUGCAAAAUAAAGCAAAUAUCUGAAAAAUAAUCACUGGGGAAACAUGCAUAUAUUUUACAUCACAUCUAGAAUUGUUAUAACAAUGAGU